UGCUCUUUUAUUCUUCCCUUUUUUUCUUCCAGCUCACGCUGUCUCUCUCUACAUAGCUGCCAACGCAGCCUUUCUCCCGCGUCUCACACCCGUGCCUGCUGGUCUUCUGCCUUCUGACAUGCGCCUCUCUCCCCCUCGGUUUCUCUAUUUCUCUUCCUCAAGCUGCCAAAUGGCAGCACCUCUUCCGUCUCUGUGGACUCUCCUGUCUCUCAAGUUUCUUCUGCUGCCAAAGGGCAGCCUCUGCCUUUCUCGCUCCUGCCGUGUCUGCGAGCUGCCCAAAGGGCAGCCCCUCUGUCCACCCCGCUCCAAGACCCCCCCCUUCUGUCCCGUACCUGCCUUCCUCUAUCUUAUUAUUUUAUUUCCCACUUUUUCAAGUCUUCUCUGUCUCCCGCCUCUAUCCCUUUCACGCCUUGGAUUCUCCUUUUUCUUCUUCUUUCGUAUAUCUUUCUUUGGAUCCCUCCUUUCCUGAUUAUUUCUCCCCCGUAUGCCUUUGCUUUCCAUACUUUUAUUCCCCUCUUUUUUUUUUUCUUCUUCUCCAUCCGUUCCUUUCUUUUCUUCUACAAAACAAAACCAUCAUGAUGAUGUUUCAAACAUCAUCAUGACUUAUCAUUAUUAUAUUUUCUUUUUAAUUUAAUUUAAAAGCUGAUCUACACAGACAGUUUUGACGAAUUCAUUACAUAAAAUUUCACUUGUUCUAUUUUUAUUUUCUUUGCAUAACAAAUCCUAUAAACACAAAAAUAACGUAAAUAGCUCAAAAAUAUAAGGAACUAACCAAGAAAAGACGAGUGAAUUUAAAGUAAAAAUAUAUAUAAAUAUGAUCCGAUCAAAUACCCCCACACUUAACUUUUGCUAGUCCUCGAGCAAAACAAAGAAAACAAGAACAAGAAGUAACAAGAAAAGCAUUAGCUUCCCCCUAUGUGACCCUCAUAGAAUUUCAUUUAAGAAAACAAAUCAUCAAGAACCAUAGCUAGCAUCAAGGAACUAAUCCAAGUUCAUCUUCCUUAUUCAAAUAUUAGCAGUAAUCUUUGAAUCAUCCUUGAAGUGUAGUGUGUGAGAUAGUCAUGCUAAUGCAAUUUCAAGUUUUUAUUUUUAAAAUCAUCAUAUGCAAACUAGCGACCUUCUCACGGGAUAUGCACUCAAUCAAAUAUGUGUUUAGUUUUAAUGUGUUUCGCUCAAAUAAUCAAAUGUGAAAUUUCUACCAUAAGCUUGCAUAAAAAUCACUUCUCCACAGUCAUAAUUGCAAAACUUAAAUCAAGAGGACUUUUAUUGGAUGUAAUGAGGUUUAGGGAGAGGGUUAUUGAAAUGAAAGAAUAGGAAAACACAAGUUCCAAGCUACAUUGCAAGCAAGUCUUUUCUUUAGAUUUAUAAGAACUCAAUAUUUCCAACGAUUCUUCUAGCACCUCCAACCACACCCUUAACUGAAACUUGAACAACUUUUUAUUUUCUUUGUGUACAAUCUUCUCUUUUUUUUUUUUUUUUUUUUUUUUUUUUUUUUUAUAUACAAACCUGAAAUACCCCCACACUUAUUCUUUUGCCAAACAUCUUCAAAGUACUUCACAAACAUUUUUCAUAAGACAAUCUCACAUUGCUCACUAGCUUGCUUGGAAAGGGUAAGGAAAAAUGUUUCAGGUAUAAGGGUAGACAUAUCUGGUGAAUAAGAAAUAAAAGGCUCAACAUACACGACUCAAAUUGGUAAUCUAAUGAUAUCAUUUUUCUUUGGGGAACAUGGUUAUUUGGGCCAUGGUGGUAAACCUAAUGCCUCUAUCAUUUCCAAGUUCAUGCAAUCAAUGACAAACAUUUUGAAAGAUCGUUACGCAAGUUCUAGAGAUGUAUCUCACAUAAGUUCAUCACACAUGAAAGAAUAGGAGUGUAUGAAAAAUGCACACACUUUCAAUCGGCUCAAAAAACUCACAUAGGAUGUAUAUAUGGUCACUAAAUUCACAUAUGAAUGCUUUAAGUCAUACUUUAGUUUCACAUUAACAAGGCUAUGUGCAUUUGGUUUUUCAAAGAGAUGGUCAAACAUGUACAAAACUAACAACAAGAGAAUUAGGAAUUUCAUAAAGCACAUGUUAACUAAGUUCUUGAUAAUCGUGAUUCAAGAUUGAUCUAAUUAUAUCAUUGGGUCGGGAAACUAACAAAAAUCUAAUUCAAAACAAUAAGGGAAACAAGACAAUAUUUUUGGAUUUUUAAAUUUUCCGAAAUUUUUUUAAUUUAAAUUUUUUUUUAAAAAGAAAACAAAACUAAUUAAGAACACAAAAAACAACAACACAGAGACAAAUGAAAUUCUGGAGAUUUCUACCCCCACACUUAAACUUGACAUUGUCCCCAAUGUCAGAAAACACUAUAAUGCAAAUAAAAAAAAUAAAAUAAAUAAAUAAUAAGAAACAAAAUAAAGCAAUUGGACUGAAAACUUCCCUAAUUUGCAGUAAAAUCAAGUGAUGACCCCCAAGCUAAAAUUCUGCAAUCAACUUCAAGGGUGGAAAUAACCAAAAGUUCCUGCAAAGAAAAGAAAUAAUUCAGUUAAGUACGCAAGAAAAUAAAAAAAAAAAUUGCAAACGAAAAAUUGAAAAUUACGAUAAAAGAUAAUGAAUAAAACUAAUAAGUAAUCAUUGGUCGUGCUUGUUGACUUUCCACAGCUUUCCUCUUGAACGGGGUGACACUUAGCUUUUUACUAUUUGAUGAUAUUGUACGGCGGAGCUUUGCUCUUUGGUGAUGUUGCAGUUCCUUAUUUGUUCUCCAAGCAGAUGUGGCAGCUUCUCUAGUUCUUCAUCUCAGACUCCUUCUGCUGGGAUGAUUGUGCAAGCUGCAUUCUUCUCUGCUUGUUUCCUCUGCAUGGCGGGCAGGCACGAGGGAGAGGAGAGGUGUUGGUCUGUUUUCUUUCUUCAAUCUUUCCAAGUGCCCACCUCUUGCUCUCUUUCUCCUUGUCCUUAGUUGAGGAUGAAUCAGCACGUUGUCUCCACAUGCUUCGAGGUAUCAUCUUCACUUCCCUUAUACGUAAGAGACGAAGAGGAAACACAAGAUGAUGAGUACUCGAGAGCAAGUGCUGGCUGGAGAAAGGACAGGGAGAAAGCAUGAUAUGAGAUACUCUUGCUUUCAACCUUUAUGAUAUGAAAUACUUUUGCUUUGAAAUGGGUUGUUCGCAAGAGUAUCCCAAGGAAUUAGGAACACAGAGUAACUUAGGAGGAUUCUUUGGGAAUGCAUUUUCAGAGAUGAAGAAGUGCUGAGAGAGAAGUGCUGAGAGAGUGUGCCUUUGCUGUGGAAAGCGAAGAUAGAAACUUAUAGGACUUGUCUUCACAACCGGAACUGUUCUCUCACUUAGUGUCGGCAGCCGGUGGAUGGGUGAAGAAUACAAAUUACGCGCUUUCUGACAAAGCUGCCCGUAAUUUCCGCAAAGCUGCCAGUUGCAUGUGACAAGUGCUGACUAGGCUGAGAGAGACAGAUGGUUGGAAUCGGCACUUCGACAGACUGCCCGUGAUUUUCGCAGAGCUGAGUUUGCGUGCGGGUGACAACACGUCUGGACGAAUUGAUCUUGCGAAAUCCGGGGUUCGGCUCGUGGUUUCUGAGCAAGCCCAACUUUUAAGAAAUGAACGCCUCUUUUGAGAAAAGAAUCCGGCUUUUGAGAAAGGAGCCCCGACUCUUCGAUUUGCGAGAGGACGCUUCUCUGAGGAGCGCCUAUUUGAUUUCUUCUUUUUUAUAGAGGCGUUAAUCGUGUUCCACAACACACUUGAGCUCCCUCUUGUAAACACUCCCUUCUUGCACUCCCAAAAUCUUAAUCAGUCCGACUCUCUUCUUUCUUCACCACCUCUGAAAAAUGUCUGGCCCUUCCGACCGUCGUUUUGACUUGAACAUUGGUGAAGAGGCAGCUCCGCCUUCACCAGACAACAUAUGGCGCCCAUCCUUCAUAUCUCCCACCGGUCCCCUUACCGUGGGGGAUUCGGUGAUGAAAAAUGACAUGACCGCUGCAGUGGUGGCCCGAAACCUUGUCACUCCCAGAGAUAACAGACUGCUCGCUAGACGGUCCGAUGAAUUGGCGGUUAAGGAGUCUCUGGCUCUUAGCGUGCAGUGUGCGGGUUCUGUAUCCAACAUGGCCCAACGCCUAUUUGCUCGAACCCGUCACGUUGAAUCGUUGGUGGCUGAAAUACAGAGUCUCAAAGAGGAGAUUAGAGGACUCAAACAUGAGAAUAAAGAAUUGCACAAGCUCGCACACAGCUAUGCCACCAGCAUGAAAAGGAAGAUUGACCAGAUGCAGGACACUGAUGGUCAAAUUUUACUGGAUCAUCGGAAGUUUGUGGGUCUGUUCCAACAGCAUCUACCCUCAUCUUCUGGAGCGGCACCGCGUAGUGAAGCUCCAACUGAUCAACCUCUGUUGCCUCCUCCUUCUGUGGCCCCGCCGACUACUGAAGCCCCGCCUACUACUGAAGCACCACCCGACCAAUGAAUACUAUUAGUUUACAUUAUUGUAAAAUAUUUGUACUUUUUUUUUUUUUUAGUUUUUUUUUUUUUCAUUAAUUUUAAAUUUUAUCUUUUUUUUUUUUUUUUUUUUUUUUUUUUUAUAUAAGUAAAUUAAUGUAAAGAGACUUUGGUUAACCUUCCCCCACACUUAAACUAAAUAACACAAACUCACAGAAAUCAACCAAAUAACACAACUAACUAAACAAAACAAAAUGAAAGCAGUAAAGAUAAUGGUGGAAGAAUGCAAAGCUGAUUGGGUUAGCAAUUCCAAAGUCUCCCUUCGUUGAAUGCUUGGGUUGCCUCCCAAGAAGCGCUUGUUUUAACGUCUUUAGCCGGACGCAUCUUUCCUUUAAAUUUCCCUCGGCUCCAUUUGAACCUAAAAUCAAAGAAAGAAAAAUAAAUCAAAUAUCAAAAAUAAAAUACACAAACACCAAUAUAAACAUAAACAAAAACAAAAAUAAAAGGAUUAGCAAAGUUGCUAAUCCCCGGCAACGGCGCCCAAAAUUUGAUGUGAAAAAUUACUUGACACACAAAUUAAACCCUCUUUUUGACAAUUGUAGUAUAGAUGUAAGUAGGGUAUCGUUCUAGGCCGGGGAUUAGGAGGGAUUGCUAAUCUAUUCUAAAUUAAUUUAAAAAUAUUAAACAAGACUCAAUGAUACAAAACUAGGCUAAAAACUCUAAUAACUCGAAACACACUUAGGAUGAUUCAAAAUAAUGAAAAUAAUCAAAUUAAACACUAGGAACUGAAAUUGACGGAAAUCGAAUUGAAAGACUAACAAUAAUGAAAACUAACUAAAUAAUAUAAUUUAAUAAUGGAUGGGUGUUUGGUUUUGAUGAAAAGUAAAAUAAACUUAAUUAAAUUACAGAAUUGAUAAAAACAUAAAAUUAAGGUAAAAAGAUAAAUGACGGACUAGCUAGAGGGUUCUUCUCCACACAUGUUAUACUUGCAUACAAAAUGAUUUCCAGUUGUUCUUUUAAUAAAUUGUGAAUUUCAAUACUCCAGAUUAACCGUGAACAGCACUUUUUUAAUCUUCAAGUUUUCCUUAAGUUAUUGAAUUGGACGGGAAAAACGCAUACAACAAUUCAAAACAUUCUUCAAAAGUCCCCUACGUGAAAAGCACAAUAGAGAUACAAUCAAAGAUCAUUAAACUUUGUGAAAAACUAUAAGCAUUGACGAGGCAUUCGUAACUAUGAAAAGCAUGAUACUCUUUGCCAAGAAUUUACUUAACGUGAUUGUGACUAGCAACCUUUACUACUUGUGAAAAUAAGUUCAUAACGAUUAGGUGAAAUUCACUUAUAUUCUAGCAUCAAAUUCAUGCAUGUAAAUUAAGCGUGCACUCUCAACCAACAUACACAAAUCAGUUUUUAUACGAACGGAUAAGUAAAUUGAAAUCACAACUUAUGAAAUCACAACCGAAGGUAAUCAAUUCAUAUUACCAAUAUAUUCAUAGUUUUGAAUUAACCUCUAACCAACAUAAAUUUAAUUACACAUUAUUAAAAACAGAAAUAAAAUAGGAGUUUGAAAAGAUUUAACCGAGAGAAAGUGAUCUGUUGCUGUGCAGCUUCACUGCGUCGUCAGUACGUGCUCUGUCAGUCACUCCUCUCUCCUGCACGUCCUCUCCUUCUUCCUGACCUCCCGCGCCUCACUUGCCCCGUCAGCCUUCCACGCUGACUGCUUUCCUUCUCGCAGCUUCAUGCUGCCCAAAGGGCAGCCCUCCCCUCUCGCCUAUUCCCCUCUCCCUGUCCGUGCUGCUCUUUUAUUCUUCCCUUUUUUUCUUCCAGCUCACGCUGUCUCUCUCUACAUAGCUGCCAACGCAGCCUUUCUCCCGCGUCUCACACCCGUGCCUGCUGGUCUUCUGCCUUCUGACAUGCGCCUCUCUCCCCCUCGGUUUCUCUAUUUCUCUUCCUCAAGCUGCCAAAUGGCAGCACCUCUUCCGUCUCUGUGGACUCUCCUGUCUCUCAAGUUUCUUCUGCUGCCAAAGGGCAGCCUCUGCCUUUCUCGCUCCUGCCGUGUCUGCGAGCUGCCCAAAGGGCAGCCCCUCUGUCCACCCCGCUCCAAGACCCCCC
RNAcentral lists this long non-coding RNA (6519 nucleotides) under Malus domestica (apple). RNAcentral describes it as "long non-coding RNA (MDOM_LNC001801)". The record is from RNAcentral. Lineage: Eukaryota; Viridiplantae; Streptophyta; Magnoliopsida; Rosales; Rosaceae.